UUUUUUUUUUUUUUUUUUUUUUAACUGGAGACAGAGUCUUGCUCUGUCGCCAGGUUGGACUGCAGAGGCGUAAUCUCGGCUCAUGGCAACCUCGGCCUCCUGGGUUCAAGCAAUUCUCCUGCCUCAACCUCCUGAGUAGCUGGGACUACAGGCGCGCAUCACCACGCCUGGCUAAUUUUUGUAUUUUUAGUAGAGACAGGGUUUCACCAUGUUGGCCGGGAUGGUCUCGAUCUUCUGACCUUGUGAUCCACCCGCCUCGGCCUCCCAAAGUGCUGGGAUUAGAGGCGUGAGCCACAACACCUGGCCGAAUGUGGUUUCUUAGUGAGUCCUUUACUCAAGGCUGGAAUUGAACAGAUAAAGGAGAUGAAUCACGAGCUCUAUGAUAAUAGUCUAAUAGUCUAAUCUAGCUCUGUUAAGUGCAGAGAUGUUUUCCCUCUGAACACCCGUGUGUUUCAGCUCUGUUCCUCUUCCAAUGCCCUUCCACGGGGAACAAAUCCUUUCUUGACCACCAAUGGCUGCAUGUCUUAUCCUGAGAAGAUCAUGGGGAUUUUGGAUGCCAGGUCAACCCUUACACUCAGCAAGGAAGUGGAAGGGCCUCAGUUUCAAACACUUUGUAAACACAGAGGUUACGUCAUUUCUUCUCCAAUAAGUCAGAAGCUGAGUUGUCCCUGGCAGCAAACUCUGUGUCAAAUGCCUGGCGGGU
Molecule: non-coding RNA, 703 nt
Filed under: Pongo abelii (Sumatran orangutan)
Lineage: Eukaryota; Metazoa; Chordata; Mammalia; Primates; Hominidae
Source: RNAcentral